RNAcentral lists this ribosomal RNA (251 nucleotides) under uncultured prokaryote. RNAcentral describes it as "partial 16S rRNA". It matches the Rfam family "Bacterial small subunit ribosomal RNA", at positions 525 to 775 of the family's 1533-position model. The record is from RNAcentral.
ACGGGGGGUGCGAGCGUUGUUCGGAAUUAUUGGGCGUAAAGAGCGUGUAGGCGGCUGAAUAAGUCAGAUGUGAAAUCCCUGGGCUCAACACAGGACGUGCAUUUGAAACUAUUAGGCUAGAGUAGAGGAGAGGAAAGUGGAAUUCCUGGUGUAGCUGUGAAAUUCGUAGAUAUCAGGAGGAACACCAGUGGCGAAGGCGACUUUCUGGACUUAAACUGACACUGAGACAUGAGAGCGUGUGGAGCAAAAAG